This 69-nucleotide transfer RNA is filed under the name Cephalcia infumata. RNAcentral describes it as "tRNA-Arg". Lineage: Eukaryota; Metazoa; Arthropoda; Insecta; Hymenoptera; Pamphiliidae. The record is from RNAcentral.
AAAUAUGAAGUAAAAUUUUUACAAUUAGUUUCGACCUAAUAUUUUGAUAAUAAUAAGUAUCCAUAUUUU